RNAcentral lists this unclassified non-coding RNA (317 nucleotides) under Basidiomycota sp. RNAcentral's name for it is "partial contains small subunit ribosomal RNA, internal transcribed spacer 1, and 5.8S ribosomal RNA". The stretch from base 1 to 47 matches the Rfam family "Eukaryotic small subunit ribosomal RNA", at positions 1785 to 1831 of the family's 1831-position model. The record is from RNAcentral. Lineage: Eukaryota; Fungi; Basidiomycota.
AAAGUCGUAACAAGGUUUCCGUAGGUGAACCUGCGGAAGGAUCAUUAUUGAAUAAAUCUGAUGUGGUUGUAGCUGGCUCUCCGGGGCAUGUGCACACCCAUCACCUUUAUCUUUCCACCUGUGCACACACUGUAGUCCUGGAUACCUCUCGUCGGAAGGCGGACUUGGGGUUUGCCGUUUGCCCUCAGGCUCGGCUCACUCUGAAUUUCCAGGUCUAUGAUCUCACACACCCCCAAAGAAUGUAACAGAAUGUCAUCACAGGGCCCUUGUGCCUAUAUAAAUUUAUACAACUUUCAGCAACGGAUCUCUUGGCUCUC